Molecule: ribosomal RNA, 206 nt
Filed under: uncultured bacterium
Lineage: Bacteria
Description: partial 16S ribosomal RNA
Rfam family: Bacterial small subunit ribosomal RNA
Source: RNAcentral
UACGAAGGGGGCUAGCGUUGUUCGGAUUUACUGGGCGUAAAGCGCACGUAGGCGGAUCGUUAAGUCGGGGGGUGAAAUCCUGGAGCUCAACUCCAGAACUGCCUUCGAUACUGGCGAUCUUGAGUCCGGAAGAGGUGAGUGGAACUCCUAGUGUAGAGGUGGAAUUCGUAGAUAUUAGGAAGAACACCAAGUGGCGAAGGCGGACU